AGAUUAAGCCAUGCAUGUCUAAGUAUAAGUUAUAUACGGCGAAACUGCGAAUGGCUCAUUAAAACAGUUAUAGUUUAUUUGAUGAUGAGUUUUAUAUGGAUAACCGUGGGAAACCAGAGCUAAUACAUGCGUGAAGACCUUAGGGUUGUAUUUAUUAGUUUAAACCAUUGGCUACGCCGAUGUGAUGAUUCAUAAUAACUGAUCGGAGGGCGUCGUUACGCCCUAAAUCUUUCAAGUUUCUGCCCUAUCAGCUUUCGAUGGUAGUGUAUUGGACUACCAUGGCGUUCACGGGUAACGGAGAAUUAGGGUUCGAUUCCGGAGAAGCAGCCUGAGAAACGGCUACUACAUCUACGGCAGGCAGCAGGCGCGUAAAUUACCCAAUCCUAAAUCAGGGAGGUAGUCACAAGAAAUAACGAGCCAGAAUUAAGUUUCUAGUAUUGCAAUGGAUUCACUUUAAAUCCUUGUUUGAAAUCUAUUGGAGGGCAAGUCUGGUGCCAGCAGCCGCGGUAAUUCCAGCUCCAAUAGCGUAUCUUAAUGUUGUUGCAGUUAAAAAGCUCGUAGUUGAAAUUCUGGGCCGGGCCGGCUUCCAAUUUGGUCGCCUCCGUCCGAGUCCAUCCGCCUGGGGACUUGAUCGUAGUUCACUCUACGUCAUGCACAACCAGGCACUUUACUUUGAAGAAAUUAGAGUGUUUCAGGCAGGCUUUCGCUUGUAUACACCAGCAUGUAAUAAUAGAAAAGGACUGCUUCAAUUUUAUUGGUAUAUUUGGAGUAGUAAUGAUUAACAGGAACAGUUGGGGGCAUUCGUAUUUAGUAGUUAGAGGUGAAAUUCUUGGAUUUACUAAGGACGAACUAAUGCGAAAGCAUUUGCCAAGGAUGUUUUCAUUAAUCAAGAACGAAAGUUAGGGGAUCAAAGACGAUUAGAUACCGUCCUAGUCCUAACCAUAAACUAUACCGACUCGGGAUUGGGAGGGCGACGUGCCCUUUCAGCAUCGUUACGAGAAAUUAAAGUCUUUGGGUUCUGGGGGGAGUAUCGUCGCAAGGCUGAAACUUAAAGGAAUUGACGGAAGAGCACCACCAGGAGUGGAGCCUGCGGCUUAAUUUGAUUCAACACAGGGAAACUUACCAGGGCAAGACCUUAAUAGGAUUGUCAGCUUGAGAGUGCUUACUUGAUUCGAGGGAAAGUGGUGCAUGGCCCGCUUUAGUUCGUGGUCUGAGCUGUCCCGCUAAUCCGCUUAACGAACGAGACCUUAAUCCUAACUAGUAGCGGUUAAACCAUAGCCGUAUACUUCUUAGAGAGACUUAAUUGGCAACAGUGAGGAAGUUUGAGGCAACGCGAGGUCCGUGAUGCCCUUAGGUGUCCUGGGCCGCACGCGCGCUACACUGACACGCUCAUCAAGUAUUAGCUUGCCCGAAAGGGUCGGCAGAUCUUUGAAUACGUGUCGUGCUAGGGAUCGAUCUUUGCAAUUAUGGAUCGUGAACGAGGAAUUCCUAGUAGGCAUAAGUCAUCAGCUUGUGCCGAUUACGUCCCUGCUCUUUGUACACACCGCCCGUCGCUCCUACCGAUUUUGAGUGAUCCGGUGAACCGUCUGGACCUGUGUUGUCUUCAGCGUGGGGAAGUUCCGUAAAUCUUAUCACUUAGAGGAAGGAGAAGUCGUAACAAGGUA
Molecule: ribosomal RNA, 1664 nt
Filed under: metagenome
Description: SSU rRNA
Rfam family: Eukaryotic small subunit ribosomal RNA
Source: RNAcentral